Molecule: RNA transcript, 3597 nt
Organism: Alosa sapidissima (American shad)
Lineage: Eukaryota; Metazoa; Chordata; Actinopteri; Clupeiformes; Clupeidae
Gene: arsib
Gene name: arylsulfatase family, member Ib
Exons: 3
Source: RefSeq, a predicted model, not a curated record
UCUUGGAAAAUGUGCAAUACGAGUAAUCUGUGUGUAGCACUCAGCAGUCAUCUAAGCUGUAGUCAGAGUGUGCUCUGUCCCCAAUUGCUAAAUGGGUUUAAAAUGACCAGACCAAUACCAUAGAACCAUAGGGCAUUUCAAAUAACCAGGUGUUCGUUGGACGGCUACAAUCAGCCUGGUUUUCUUUUCCCCGCGGGGCGUGUAGUACUGAACGCUCCAUAAGCGCGUGCAAACGAGUCAUGUUGGUUGGUGUUGCCAGUUUUUGAUCAAUGACGACUCUUGAGAUGAAUGAAUAUUAAUCUUGAAGUUGUUAUGCCAGCUCAGGAUCACCCGUAGCCUACACAGUAAACAGGUUUAGUAGCCUACGUGGAUGAGACAUGGCUAUGCUGGCACUGACUGGUCUUUUUUUGCUCAAUUUAUUACGCUUUAGCUGCGCGUCCUGGGACUGGGUAAAGCCAAACCAGGUGGAGAGCGAAUCUAUCCACUUCCAGGGUUCUGCCGCAUAUAAAGCGAAGCAACCUCCGCACAUCAUUUUCAUUCUAACGGAUGACCAGGGAUUUCACGACAUAGGCUACCAUGAUUCGGACAUCCGCACUCCAACACUGGACAAGCUUGCCAAGGAGGGAGUCAGACUGGAGAACUAUUAUGUGCAACCCCUUUGCACACCGUCACGCAGUCAGCUGAUCACUGGCAGGUAUCAGAUCCACACUGGUCUCCAGCACUCCAUCAUCCGGCCCCGGCAGCCCAACUGCCUCCCCCAGCACAUGGCCACCCUGCCCCAGCGCCUGCAGGAGGCCGGCUACGCCACCCACAUGGUGGGCAAGUGGCACCUGGGCUUCUACAAGAAGGACUGUCUGCCCACGCGCCGCGGCUUCCACACCUACUUCGGCUCGCUGACCGGCAGUGUGGACUACUACACCUACAGCUCGUGCGACGGCAAGGCGCUGUGCGGCUACGACCUCCACGAGGGCGAGUCGGUGGCCUGGGGCCAGAAGGGCAAGUACUCCACGCACCUGUACACGCAGCGCGUGCGCAAGAUCCUGGCGGCGCACGACCCGCACAGCCAGCCGCUCUUCCUCUUCGUGUCGCUCCAGGCGGUGCACACGCCCCUCAAGCCGCCCAAGGAGUACAUCUACCCGUACCGCGACAUGGGCAACGUGGCGCGGCGGAAGUACGCGGCGGUGGUGUCCAUCGUGGACGAGGCGGUGCACAACAUCACCUAUGCCCUGCGGAAGUACGGCUACUACAAGAACAGCGUGCUCAUCUUUUCCACGGACAACGGCGCGCAGCCCUUCACGGGGGGCAGCAACUGGCCCCUGCGCGGGAGGAAGGGGACCUACUGGGAGGGUGGCGUGAGGGGGUUGGGGUUCGUGCACAGCCCUUUGCUGCGACACCGGCGGAGGGUGAGCAAGGCCCUCCUGCACAUCACCGACUGGUUCCCCACGCUGGUCGGUCUGGCCAGAGGAAACGUGUCUCAGGACCCUGGGCUGGACGGCUACAACAUCUGGCCCACCAUCAGCGAGGGCAAGGAGUCCCCGCGAAUGGAGAUCCUGCACAAUAUCGACCCGCUGAACCGCAAGGGCCGGGGCUCCUGGAGGGACGGAGAGCAGGUCUGGGAUGCCGCCGUGCAGGCGGCCAUCCGUGUGGGGGACUGGAAGCUGCUGACCGGCGACCCCGGCCACGGAGACUGGGUCCCGCCUCAGGUGCUGGCGCACUUCCCAGGUGGCUGGUGGAACCUGGAGCGUGGCGCCGGUCACCAGGCCAAGUCAGUCUGGCUCUACAACAUCACCGGUGACCCAUGCGAGCGCCACGACAUGGCCACCCAGCGGCCCGACGUGGUCAAGAAGCUUAUGGCGCGGCUGGCGUAUUACAACCGCACCUCCGUGCCAGUGCAAUACCCGCCAGACGACCCACGGGCCAACCCUGACCGGAACGGUGGGGUGUGGGGGCCCUGGGUUGGAGACGAUGAGGAAGUCGAGCAAACUUUCUCGGGGGUCUACUAUAAGAGGGGCAAGAAUCGGAAGAGGAAGAAAUGCAGGAUCUGCAGGCUCAAGCCCUUCUUCAAGCGGCUGAACAAACGGGUCCUGUCCAACAGAAUGUAGCACUGAUGCUGUUGUUGUUGUUGCGCUUUGCAAACCAGAAACAUUCUGCUCACUGCCCUCUGAGCCUUGGCAUCCCACAUCUGAGAAUCCCCGAGAGGGGGAUGCAAAAGCCUGAACUCUGUUUACAUCUCACAGUACAACCCUGUAGUUUUUCCAUGUGAAUCCAGGGUGGAAGUCUUACGUUUUAUCUUCACUAGUCUGAAAAGGGCAGAAGCCUUUUGAAAUCCACUGGUUUUAGAACUUUCCACUUACAAAGCCUUGUCUACCUGAUCUGUACGGCAAUUUCACAAACAUUUCAUGUAUUCCCCAUGUGAUCAUCACACCACAUGGAACAUGCAGGAAAAAUGAAAACCCUCAAUGUGUUUAUAUAUUCUUAAAUUCUUAAUUCCUUAUUAUAAUUAUAAGUGCAUGUCUUGACAUUUCUGAAUGACAUAAUGCUGCACAGCAUUGCAAAAACACACACUGGAACUUGCCUUGAGCAUGUCAGAUUCCCCUUUAUGAUCUUUGUGAUAAAAUGCGGUCUAAAACAAUUAAACUGUUUCUCAGCAGUGCCUUGUCACAACAUCUUGCCGGAAUAUUCUCUGUUGUGUUUCCAUCUGAAUGAGCUUGUCACUCCCUUAUCCAAUGCUGCUGCAUUCCAACUUUCCAUUCCAAGGAAUAUACUGGAAUUGUUUCUGCGUUUGUAGCACAUGUUUAGUAUGCUGGCCAACAAUUCAGUCAUAUUUGAAAACAAACUGUUAUUGUGUUAUCUGUGAGUUGGUAGGCCUUAGUUGUUCUCUGAUACCAGAAAACAACUUAAAAGAAUGUAGAAUGUUUCACAUAGAAAAACUUAAAGAUUUCCCAUUUCCCUAUUUUGUCCUGGAAUCUGAAUUAUUUAAGUGCUAAUAUUGUUUCUAUCACCUCGUAAAGGUUCAUUGUUGAUCCUGCUUUUGACAUAGACAACUGUUGGACUUAAAUGGACACAAUAAAGGCCUAAAUGCUUUCACUUUUCAAACACAUCUCUUUAUGGGGUAUAACGACCCAGACUAGCAUAAGUGUUUGUGUAUUUGUGAAGAAUAGGGCACGCUGACCUUUAUUGAAAGGCUCUGGGUGGCAGUUUGUCACUAUGACAGGGCAUUUACUCCUGCCUUGGAGUAGAGUGCUGAGCGGAGUCGAGCCCUUUCAGACAACAAGUCUCCUCCGCUGGCAUUUAGUGACAGGUGGUGAAGCACCAGAUGUGCUCUCUUUUGUCCUUUGGGUUUGGGCUUCAGCCCGCUGGAGGAGAAGGGGAGUUCAGGGGGCAUGAAGCUGUUGUGUGUGUGCUAAGGAGAUAAGACUGCUGCCAAGAGAGGCUCUUGAUCACUGACACUGACUCGGAAUGGGACUGACUCCGGCAGGAGAACUUAUGAAAAGAAUUCUAUCACCAUUGAAGACUGCAAGAGGAGAGAGCAAUAGGCAUCAUAGAGAAGGUAGUCCUGCCCUACAAGGUACUGGCAAAGAGGAAAACAAUUGGCAG